UCGGGUUGGAUAAAAAUUAUGAAUUUUAGUGUAAUAUUUUGUCGGGUUGAGCGGGUUGGCGGUCGGAUUGGACGAUUUAGUGGCCCGACACCCGAACCAAAUGUGGUCGGGUUAGUUAAAUUUCACCCGUUAUUCAUCCGUAGAGUGAGCGGGUUUGAUCGGGUUCGGAUUAGGUCGGAUCGGGUCGGUCGGUUUGGGCGGGUUGGCGGAUAUUUGCACAGCC
This 223-nucleotide long non-coding RNA is filed under the name Actinidia chinensis (golden kiwifruit). Its description in RNAcentral is "long non-coding RNA (ACHI_LNC008536)". The record is from RNAcentral. Lineage: Eukaryota; Viridiplantae; Streptophyta; Magnoliopsida; Ericales; Actinidiaceae.